AUUGAACGCUGGCGGCAGGCCUAACACAUGCAAGUCGAGCGGAGCGGCGGACGGGGGAGUAAUGCCUAGGAAUCUGCCCGGUGGUGGGGGAUCACGUCAGGAAACGGGACCUAAUACCGCAUGCGAUCAGGUGAGCUUCGGGCGGCUUGGCUAGAUGGUGGGGUAAAGGCCUACCAAGGCGACGAUCCGGAACUGGUCUAAGAGGAUGAUCAGUCACACUGGAACUGAGACACGGUCCAGACUCCUACGGGAGGCAGCAGUGGGGAAUAUUCGACAAUGGGCGAAAGCCUGAUCGAGCCAUGCCGCGUGUGUGAAGAAGGUCUUCGGAUUGUAAAACUCUUUUGUUUGGGAGGCGUUACCUACAGAGUAAGCACCGGCUAACUUCGUGCCAGCAGCCGCGGUAAUAC
This 407-nucleotide ribosomal RNA is filed under the name uncultured bacterium. RNAcentral describes it as "partial 16S ribosomal RNA". It matches the Rfam family "Bacterial small subunit ribosomal RNA", at positions 30 to 526 of the family's 1533-position model. The record is from RNAcentral.